UCGACGCUGCCACUUCGCGGUUCCCUUCUGCCAUCCCUUCUACCUUCUCCCCAUCAGAUCCCGCAGCUUCACGCCUCGAAUCCCUUGUGUGCCACUUCGUCUUCCAAUUCGAAGUCUUUGGAAUUCGAGUCUGUCAAAGAGCUCCGAUCCAUCCACUUGUGCUGGUAUUUCAGAAUCCCUGAUUUUGAUGCACCCAUCUGCGGAUCCUGUUGUUUUGAUUUUAUUUGAUGUUAACUAUCAUCAAGAUGAUAGUGAUUUUGUUGGUUGAUUGGUAUUUGGCUACAGCUAGAACCUAUUAACUUGAUGUUACUGCUAAUGGUAUUGCAGGAAAUUUAGCGAAGUUCCUUUUUUUUUUUUUUUUGACAGUUCAAUGUCAUAUAUAUUAUUUCUUUUUGUAUUGACUGCAUCAUUAUAAUCUAUACAAAGUGAGGGAAA
RNAcentral lists this long non-coding RNA (435 nucleotides) under Elaeis guineensis (African oil palm). RNAcentral's name for it is "long non-coding RNA (EGUI_LNC012546)". The record is from RNAcentral. Lineage: Eukaryota; Viridiplantae; Streptophyta; Magnoliopsida; Arecales; Arecaceae.